This 195-nucleotide ribosomal RNA is filed under the name uncultured eukaryote. RNAcentral describes it as "partial Eukaryotic large subunit ribosomal RNA". It matches the Rfam family "Eukaryotic large subunit ribosomal RNA", at positions 176 to 371 of the family's 3401-position model. The record is from RNAcentral.
CGGGGACGAGUCCCUUGGAACAGGGCAUCGUGGAGGGUGACAAUCCCGUACGUGCCCCGGAACACGUCGUACGGCGCGUCUUCAACGAGUCGAGUUGCUUGGGACUGCAGCUCUAAUAGGUGGUAAAUUCCAUCUAAGGCUAAAUACGGGUGGGAGACCGAUAGCGAACAAGUACCGUGAGGGAAAGAUGCAAAG